RNAcentral lists this ribosomal RNA (271 nucleotides) under uncultured bacterium. Its description in RNAcentral is "partial 16S ribosomal RNA". It matches the Rfam family "Bacterial small subunit ribosomal RNA", at positions 524 to 794 of the family's 1533-position model. The record is from RNAcentral.
UACGGAGGGUCCAAGCGUUAUCCGGAUUUAUUGGGUUUAAAGGGUCCGCAGGCGGGAAAAUAAGUCAGUGGUGAAAUCCUACAGCUUAACUGUAGAACUGCCAUUGAUACUGUUUUUCUUGAGUAUAAUUGAAGUGGGCGGAAUGUGUCAUGUAGCGGUGAAAUGCAUAGAUAUGACACAGAACACCGAUUGCGAAGGCAGCUCACUAAAUUACAACUGACGCUCAUGGACGAAAGCGUGGGGAGCAAACAGGAUUAGAUACCCUAGUAGU